GAGAAAGGCUGGUAGCAACAAAGACUGCUGAUCUAUGUCACCUCGGUUAGACUCCGGGGCUUUCUUA
RNAcentral lists this transfer RNA (67 nucleotides) under Nemipterus hexodon (ornate threadfin bream). RNAcentral describes it as "tRNA-Ser". Lineage: Eukaryota; Metazoa; Chordata; Actinopteri; Spariformes; Nemipteridae. The record is from RNAcentral.